Chiloscyllium plagiosum (whitespotted bambooshark) is the source of this 885-nucleotide non-coding RNA. The record is from RefSeq and is a predicted model, not a curated record. NCBI's taxonomy places the organism in Eukaryota, Metazoa, Chordata, Chondrichthyes, Orectolobiformes, Hemiscylliidae.
AUAUCCCACCCAGUCUAAUCCCACUCUCCCCCUCACUCCCCACACCAUUUAAUGUCUCACCCAGCCUAAUCCCACUCUCCCCCCUCACUCCCCGCUCCCUUUAAUAUCCCACCCAGUCUAAUCCCACUCACCCCCUCACUCCCCGCUCCCUUUAAUAUCCCACCCAGUCUAACUCCUUUGAACCUAUACAUUCUGUCUGUUUAAUAGGAUCUCUCUGAUAUCCUAAUUCCUGACUCCGUUUAUAAAUGAACAAUGUUACUUGGAAUUGUUCUGUUUGAUUUGUGUUCGGGACAGCUCAGUUCUAGCAAUCAAUGCCAAAAAUGUAAUUUGUUUAUUCUGUUCUGGAAUUGAAAAUCUCUGGUGGCUUUGCCUCAAAGUUUCUCUUUCAGAAAGUUAAUUAUCAAGACAGAACCUGAUGACCUGCUGGAAAUGACAGGCCCAGUCUGAAUCUCUGGGACUGGAAUCGACCUGCCUGAAAUGCUGAACCCUCAACCAGAUUCCCCGAAUGCUCUGCUCCCUGCACAGCACAAACUCCACAUCACUGGAAUUCAGAAUUCACCUGAUGAUUUACAUUAGAUCGACACAUUCCAGUUUCCUGGCCCCAGCUACCUCUCCUUCAGCAAGUGCAAUCCCUCGUCAUUCCCAUUCCUCAUCGAAUGGUCUGAAGAUUCUCCAAUAAAAACAGCAGUUCUGGAGAAGAGUUACACCAGACUCAAAACAUGGAACUGUCUCUCCCUCUCGCUCUAAAUCUCUCUAUGGUUCCUGUAGGAGUUUCUCCAGCACAUUAUGUUUGUUGUGAGACAUACACAAGUCAUUGUUGUGAACAAGUUUCUCUACGUCAAUCUGGUCAAACACUAAACCAUUAAAAACAAUCCUGGGACUUUA